UGGAAGUAAAAGUCGUAACAAGGUCUCCGUUGGUGAACCAGCGGAGGGAUCAUUACUGAGUUUACGCUCUACAACCCUUUGUGAACAUACCUAUAACUGUUGCUUCGGCGGGUAGGGUCUCCGCGACCCUCCCGGCCUCCCGCCUCCGGGCGGGUCGGCGCCCGCCGGAGGAUAACCAAACUCUGAUUUAACGACGUUUCUUCUGAGUGGUACAAGCAAAUAAUCAAAACUUUUAACAACGGAUCUCUUGGUUCUGGCAUCGAUGAAGAACGCAGCGAAAUGCGAUAAGUAAUGUGAAUUGCAGAAUUCAGUGAAUCAUCGAAUCUUUGAACGCACAUUGCGCCCGCCAGCAUUCUGGCGGGCAUGCCUGUUCGAGCGUCAUUUCAACCCUCAAGCUCUGCUUGGUGUUGGGGCCCUACAGCUGAUGUAGGCCCUCAAAGGUAGUGGCGGACCCUCUCGGAGCCUCCUUUGCGUAGUAACUUUACGUCUCGCACUGGGAUCCGGAGGGACUCUUGCCGUAAAACCCCCAAUUUUCCAAAGGUUGACCUCGGAUCAGGUAGGAAUACCCGCUGAACUUAAGCAUAUCAAUAAGCGGAGGA
RNAcentral lists this ribosomal RNA (599 nucleotides) under Colletotrichum alatae. RNAcentral's name for it is "eukaryotic LSU rRNA". The stretch from base 228 to 381 matches the Rfam family "5.8S ribosomal RNA". The record is from RNAcentral. Lineage: Eukaryota; Fungi; Ascomycota; Sordariomycetes; Glomerellales; Glomerellaceae.